This 571-nucleotide long non-coding RNA is filed under the name Androctonus crassicauda. Lineage: Eukaryota; Metazoa; Arthropoda; Arachnida; Scorpiones; Buthidae. The record is from RNAcentral.
GGAAGUUAAGUUUAACUAGUAUCGUUAACGAUUGGUCAACUAACUUUAGAUCAAUACUAAUUAUAUAACAUAGUACAGUAAUGGAAUCUCAAAUAUUUACAAAACUCCCAACGGUAUAGAAUUUUUGAUCGGGGUUCUUAAAAGAGACGUAUGGCACAACAAAAAAUGAAUUUUUUAAAAGAUAUAUAUAUAAAAAAAAAUAAUUUAUACUGUAGUUGUUGUAGGUGAUUUUCGUCUUUUCUUUCUGUGACACGAACUGAAUACAUAAAGCGAUGCUUUAGGAUGUUCCGUACAGCUAAGACGACAUCAGAAAACAUCCACGAUGUAAACCUGGCUGUCACUCACACUAGACACUUCUCCUUGUCCAGUUAUGUUCCUUUUUUCAAAAAUUGUUCAGAUAGAUAUGACUGCUCCUACCACUCUGUGCAAUUCUCCAGUACCCAAGCGAAUUCGCCAAACAUAUCCCCAACGUUGAUAACACAAAAAGGAAGCUGAGGAUAAACAGGGUCACUGUAAGCUCUGCCACGUAUUUUUUUUUAUUUUAUCUCUCUCUCUCUCUCUCUCUCUCUCC